Molecule: long non-coding RNA, 2048 nt
Organism: Triticum aestivum (bread wheat)
Lineage: Eukaryota; Viridiplantae; Streptophyta; Magnoliopsida; Poales; Poaceae
Exons: 3
Source: RefSeq, a predicted model, not a curated record
GUGAAAAUUAAAAAAAAAAUAUCAGGUAAACACAGAUAAUGAUUAUUGCAGCCAUGAACCUGUUGAGUCUAUAUUUCAUCCCAUCUUCAUGCACGUGGUAGUCCCGCCUUUGCAGGGCCUUGAUAUAUUUGCAAUGGAUUAAGCAAAGGGCCUCUGUUGAUUCACUCGUGUUCUCAUUUGAAACUAUUUGAGAUGUGAAUCUUGAAUUUUAUGUUCUUAUAAUUUCUUAGCAGAUUGAUUAGGACUGAUUUGGUUUCUAUUUUGUUUGGGCAAGUGGAACAGCUUGCGAAGCUUUACACUAAUUCACGGACUCACUAUGUAGCAAUUAAAGGGUGAUUGAUAGUUCCAACUUUUACUGUUAUAACUUCGGUUAUUACCUUUUCCAAUAUAUGCAUAUUUAAUAUUUCUCUCUGCACAUCAUUUAAGCAGGUGGUUCCAUUUGAGACAUUUAGGAAGAGUACGGUCUUUUCAGAUUUUAAUUGAUAUCUAUAUUGUUUCUUUCAUAUAAUGGGCAAGUGUGGAAACCAAUGCUAAUAGAAGGCAUGCAUUGCACAUGUAUUGUCUUAUUAACCGUGCACAUUUUGGAGCAUGAUAAUUGUCAAAUGGAUUGUCUAACAAUACUGAGGAGACCUGCAUGUCUGUCUAGAUUCUUAAUAUGGAACCAAUAGAUGAUGGAUGGCCAUUUUUUGCAACAUCUGACUGAGGAAUAAUGGUACAAUUGAUAAGACAAGGGCUGGACUUCCCUCCGCAACAAUCUUCUUUGCUCAAGUAAUUCAAGUUAAAAUCACUGCAGGGAGACCUUUUAUCGGAAAAUUCUUGAUGGACCAGGACAUGGAUUUUGGCUCCCGAGCUAAGAAAAAAGUGGCGGGGUCGGCUUCUUGAAGAAUACUGACCGACGGAGAUGCAGGGGAGAACUAGGACCUGCAAAUCCUUUGCAAUGGAGAUUGAGGCUUAUCUGAUUCAAGGUGAAUAGGCACAAUGUCAAAGGGCGGUUCCGAAGAUUUCACAUGAGGCGUGGUGUGGAGAGGAGAAUUUGAAUGUUCUUGAGCCUAAUAGUCACCAUGAAUUCUUGAUUUUCGGGCAUCUCUAAUAUCCACAUGCUCGCUUUCUUUACCUGCAACUUCUUCAGUUUCUGUAGGGUGAGGCGAUGAUAACAUAAGAGCAGUGUCAUCAAAGGUGAAAAUUUCUUCAUCCAUCUUUUCAUAGGGGGAAUCUUGGGGUUUUCUUCAUAUUUUGCCCCAAACGGCCGACACAAGCGGUGGCAUUGAGGCCAACGGCGGAAAAAGGUUUGGCUCAUUUAUAGUGACAUUGUCACUUUGCUUCUUCUUCGUUGGCUUCUCAACAGGUUCUGAAGCCUUCUAUUUUUAGCUUCACUCUCUGGAGCCUUACUUUUCUUCGACAAGGAAGCGUAGGGAAGUGUUGACUUCUUCAAAGGAGGCGGAGUGGAAAGCUUCGUAGAUGAAGAACUUGCCUUCUCAGUAGCCGGGGCAAGGGGCACGUUCUUUCUGUUUGGAAACGUACUAGAAAACAAAAUGCGCCUACUAAUCAUCCCAUCGUCACUAUGAAGAUGCAAGUGCGAUUGGAUCUAGAUUAGAUUGCUUACCAAUGUAAAUGUGAUAGAGAGGAGACUUUGUGAGGCGUGUUGAUACAUAUUUCCACAACUAGGUUAUACCUCCCAGCAGUGAGAAUUAGUCCAUCAAAAUUAUCCGUAGAUCAAGCUCAUAAUGUAUAAUGCCUCUGUAGAGAGCACCAGUCCAGCAGUUAGCUAUGUCGGAGAACUAGGGUGGAGGUCGAGCAGCCUUUCGACAGAGGAACAGUUUCCAAGAAGAGAACGAGGAAGAGAGAGGGGGGUAAACCUUACGCAAUCAUGUGUUUCUAGGGAGCACCCUGGCCUCUCCUUUAUAUAGGUGGCUAGGGGGUGCAUGGUUUUACCAUCCUAGGGUCGACGGAACAAUGGGUGGUAUUAUGCAUGUAUCUAUUAUGGCUCGACCCUCAUAAUACACAUAUAACAAGGAUUACAUAUCUGAAGCAAAGUUUGUGUUUCUAUA